ACUGACUAACGUACAUUGCGCCUAUCCCAAUUCCACUGUGCGUGUGACAGCGGCUAACCUGGUUUUAGGGAGACUUCCCUGCCCCUCCUGCCGUCGUGGGAACUGCCCUGCCCUGUCCAGAAAGACUUUCUCUAAAUGUAACGUAUAUCCAUCCACAAGCUGUACAUCUAGUGCUAUCUGACACCUAUUAGCUUUUACUGCCCUCCUUGUGGCCUUUCUGAGUACUGUAUUAUAUCCCAGGACACAGUCUCUGGACAGACUUGUCAGUCAGAGGCCUUUAUCAUUAGCUUACUAUGGACCUGCCGUCCUGUAGACCUUUCAUGCCAUCUACUGGGACUCUACUGGUGACAGUGUCACCAGCAAAGCACCCCCACAACAUCACACCUCCUCCUCCAUGCUUCACGGUGGGAACCACACAUGUGGAGAUCAUCCGUUCAAAAAUCUCAAAUUUGGACUCGUCAGACCAAAGGACAGAUUUCCACUGGUCUAAUGUCCAUUGCUUGUGUUUCUUGGCCCAAGCAAGUCUCUUCUUAUUAUUGGUGUUAUUUAGUAGUGGUUUCUUUGCAGCAAUUUGACCAUGAAGGCCUAAUUCAUGCAGUCUCCUCUGAACAAUUGAUGCUGAGAUGUGCCUGUUAAUUGAACUCUGUGAAGCAUUUAUUUGGGCUGCAAUUUCUGAAGCUGGUAACUCUAAUGAACAUAUCCUCUGCAGCAGAGGUUUCUUUGGGUCUUCCUUUCCUGUGCUGGUCCUCAUGAGAGACAGUUACAUCAUGCUUUUUGCAACUGCACUUGAAGAAACUUUAAAAGUUCUUGAAAUGUUCCUGAUUUACUGACCUUCAUGUAUUAAAGUAAUGAUGGACUGUUGUUUCUCUUUGCUUAUUUCAGCUGUUCUUGCCAUAAUAUGGACUUGGUCUUUUACCAAAUAGGGCUAUCUUCUGUAUGCCAACCCUACCUUGUCACAACACAACUGAUUGGCUCAAACGCAUUAAGAAGGAAAGACAUUCCACAAAUUAACUUUUAACAAGGAACACCUGUUAAUUGAAAUGGAUUCCAUGUAACUACCUCAUGAAGCUGGUUGAGAUAAUGCC
Oncorhynchus tshawytscha (Chinook salmon) is the source of this 1085-nucleotide long non-coding RNA. Lineage: Eukaryota; Metazoa; Chordata; Actinopteri; Salmoniformes; Salmonidae. The record is from Ensembl.